CAGAAUGCAUUUGCAGUAUCCACAGAACAGAUGGACUGUCUCUGAAUCAACUUGGAUUAGUUAAGUAUUAGCUUCCAGGAAAUUUCAGGUGGCCCCAUAUUUAUAUUUGUCUAAUUUUGUCUUUGUGUGGCUCUUUCUGACCUGUUUUUGUUGGCAGUGGUUGGGCUUUUUUUUAUUAUUAUUAUUUUUUAUUUUUUUAAUUUUUUGGUUUGCAGAAGAAAUAAUCAGCGUUCUUUCUACAAAUGCUUCCCUUGUAAUAUACAUUUUGAAAUGCAGUGCCUUUCUCUAAUUCUACCUGUAUGAUUCCAAUGAAAAUGUUUUCUUUUAUUUUCUGAAAGUAAAAAAUGUAACUGUAUGUGAUAGGGUAAAUAGAGGACUAUCUCAUAAAAUUCAUUAACAUUUCUUUUAUGUGCAUGGAUGAAAUUCUGAGAUUGUCAUAUGGUGAGACAAAUACUGAGAGUAAGAUUUUGAUAAUAACUUUUUCCAAGUUCUUCCUUCUUUAUUAUCUUUUCAGGUUUUCUGCUAGAUACACUUAGGAAGCCUGUAGUAACACAAAUUUAGAGCUUAAUAAUACCAACUCUGUCUUUGAUGCAGAUCUUUAGUAGAAAUAGCCUCCAAACUGCAGAAUAACUAUUGAGAAGAAUCAAGGAAUUUUCCACAGAAUGGCCAGAUAGCUACAGUCUAUUUUGUUAGUGUGCCUUCAUAUUAUUUUAGUACUCUGCAUGCCUUCUCAAUAGCAGCUGUGCAUUCACAUGCAUAGAAAUACCUACCAGGCUCAAAUAAAGGAAAAUAAAAAUCAGAACUGAAAAAAUACUAGAUUUCUGUUUUUCAGUGCAAACAUCCAUUAGCCCAUUUAUGUGAACUUUAGAAAGUAGUUCUUUAUUAGAUGACUACCUUGUAGUUUUUUUCCGAAGGUUCCCAAGCUCUGCAAACAUGAUGACCAUGUGCUGAUGAUUAGGGAGGGUGUGUACUGUGAAGCAGUGGUCUGGCUCCUUGCUGACAGGAGAGAAAUACAUUUUUGAGUCUAGAUUGCCAUUUCCAGUGCUGGAGAAAAGUGUCCUACAGUGCAUGCAUAUUCAUCUGCUUAUACAGACUUAGAUCUCUCCCCCUUCAUUUUAAGCCCUAUUUUUAUUCAUCUAGUAUCACUCUUCAGUCCCUACUUUUCUCACAUAUUUCUAAUGUUCAUAUUCAAUUACCAGGCUGUAGUCUCUUAAAGUCUCAGAUAUCUACAUCAAGGAGUUUCUCUCAAACUUGCAGCCAGGGUGUCUCACUUUCACCUGUCUCUACAAUUUCUUAUCUCCUCUGCUUCUAUUUCCAUGCCAUAUCCUUGUUCCCUGCCAGGUCUGCCUGCCCUUCUACUUCUUAUUCCUCCAUUCAGUUCUUUCCCUGCUGGAGGGGCUGCACCAUCAGAACUGAUAUGUCUCCAGUAGAUGUUUUCAAUGCCUCACCCAAUAAAUGCCAGCUGAUCCCUGUUCCAGUCGCCCUUUAUUAUCCUGUAGUUUCCUUAUACAAACCCUACAGCGUUUUCUGUUCUUCCUUACAGUGACCACUAUUUUCUUCUUUUCCAUGGACUGUCUACUUCUCUCUUUUUUUAAUAAUUGAUCUUCAUCAACCUUCAGUCAUCGUCUCAGAGGACAAAACAUACAAGUGAGAAUUUAAAGUUAGUCCUACAACUCAUGACACACUUAUCUAUCCCAGAAAAUGACAAAUGAGAUACUGAAACACUUUAUGAAACAAUAGAAAACCUUUGCUCUUCUGAAUUAACAUUGAGCACUUAUUGUACUGAUAAGAUGUAACGGAAAAAUUGUGUGUUUUUUUCUUACAGAGAAAGUGGAAUAUGCGUGCUGAAAACCUGCUACACUACACCAGCUGCUUCAUCCUGAAUACUUAAGUUGACAGGAAAGUCAUCUGAUCCUCAAGCAGGGCCAUCUAGAACAGUUCACCCAGAACCACACAUGGACAGCUUUUGAAGAUCUCCAGAGAGGAAGAACCCAUAAUCUCUCUGAGCACCCCACGCCAGUGUUCUGUCACCCACACAAUAAAGAAGUUUUUCUGAUACUCUAGAAUUUCUGAUGCUAUAGUAUGCAUUUGUCACAUUACUUGCUUGUUCAAACAGAACUUUUUUUCUACUACUAUGCCUCCGUAUCUUUUAUAUAGUCUAUACAGUUUGUACAUCAUGGCAGAUUGUAUCUUAGCGUGUUACUUCCAUUGAUUAGUUUCCAUGGUUGCAAGCAUUAUACAUGGUAGAGCUCAGUAAAUGCAAACCCUUGAAUAGUUCCUUUAAGCUAUAUAUUGCGAGGGGAAGGAGAAGGAAUAAAUCAGUUAGGAUAUCUUCUGUGCCAUCUAUUGUGAUUAAAGUCUUGUUUGCACAAAGUGGUUCAUUAUUUCUUCUGUGAGCCAUGGUUUAGACUUUCUUGUAGAAGGGAGUAUCCAUAAAGAUGGAUCUCCCUCAAAUCUCAGCCAGAACAGGAUCAGUUCAAAUGAUGAAAGCAAGAAUAGUUGUAACACAUGGAAAAACAUCAAAACUCAAAACCAAAAAGUAAUUGAUCCAAAACACCAAGAAUAAUGAUGUUUUCAUUAAAAUGAAAGUAGAACACACAGGUAAAUCCACAGAAUAUAGGAAUAUCUAAUACCAAACAUGCUUGACAUGCUCAACAAGAGACUGCUUUAUUCUUUGAUGGAAAGCUGGGACUGAAUCUGAUAUGUGCAGAAUAAUAGUGGUGGUGAUAAAUGGUUCAAAAGACAUGGAAACCAAAUAUCCUAUAAAUUAAUAUAUAAUUCAAGAAACGAUAUUCACUGAUCAAUUAAAGAGGCUGAUUGCAAAGCGUCUAUAGCAUAUGUGAAAAUGUUUUGAUAAAUACUAUGUACCUCUUUUCAGUUCAUUUGGGCUAGAAGAUUCUCAAAUGGCUUACAACUGAAUAAAGAUGGCAUUAAAAAAG
This 2939-nucleotide long non-coding RNA is filed under the name Gallus gallus (chicken). RNAcentral's name for it is "lncRNA (ENSGALG00010008800.1)". Lineage: Eukaryota; Metazoa; Chordata; Aves; Galliformes; Phasianidae. The record is from RNAcentral.